ACAUGCAAGUCGAGGGGCAGCAUAAUGGAUAGCAAUAUCUAUGGUGGCGACCGGCGCACGGGUGCGUAACGCGUAUGCAACCUACCUUUAACAGGGGGAUAACACUGAGAAAUUGGUACUAAUACCCCAUAAUAUCAUAGAAGGCAUCUUUUAUGGUUGAAAAUUCCGAUGGUUAGAGAUGGGCAUGCGUUGUAUUAGCUAGUUGGUGGGGUAACGGCUCACCAAGGCGACGAUACAUAGGGGGACUGAGAGGUUAACCCCCCACACUGGUACUGAGACACGGACCAGACUCCUACGGGAGGCAGCAGUGAGGAAUAUUGGUCAAUGGACGCAAGUCUGAACCAGCCAUGCCGCGUGCAGGAUGACGGCUCUAUGAGUUGUAAACUGCUUUUGUACGAGGGUAAACGCAGAUACGUGUAUCUGUCUGAAAGUAUCGUACGAAUAAGGAUCGGCUAACUCCGUGCCAGCAGCCGCGGUAAUACGGAGGAUUCAAGCGUUAUCCGGAUUUAUUGGGUUUAAAGGGUGCGUAGGCGGUUUGAUAAGUUAGAGGUGAAAUUUCGGGGCUCAACCCUGAACGUGCCUCUAAUACUGUUGAGCUAGAGAGUAGUUGCGGUAGGCGGAAUGUAUGGUGUAGCGGUGAAAUGCUUAGAGAUCAUACAGAACACCGAUUGCGAAGGCAGCUUACCAAACUAUAUCUGACGUUGAGGCACGAAAGCGUGGGGAGCAAACAGGAUUAGAUACCCUGGUAGUCCACGCAGUAAACGAUGAUAACUCGUUGUCGGCGAUACACAGUCGGUGACUAAGCGAAAGCGAUAAGUUAUCCACCUGGGGAGUACGUUCGCAAGAAUGAAACUCAAAGGAAUUGACGGGGGCCCGCACAAGCGGAGGAACAUGUGGUUUAAUUCGAUGAUACGCGAGGAACCUUAC
RNAcentral lists this ribosomal RNA (927 nucleotides) under uncultured bacterium. RNAcentral describes it as "bacterial SSU rRNA". It matches the Rfam family "Bacterial small subunit ribosomal RNA", at positions 53 to 974 of the family's 1533-position model. The record is from RNAcentral.